Molecule: ribosomal RNA, 253 nt
Filed under: uncultured bacterium
Lineage: Bacteria
Description: partial 16S ribosomal RNA
Rfam family: Bacterial small subunit ribosomal RNA
Source: RNAcentral
UACGUAGGUGGCAAGCGUUGUCCGGAUUUACUGGGCGUAAAGAGCGUGUAGGCGGCUCGAUAAGUCUGCUGUGAAAGUCCAGGGCUCAACCCUGGAAGGCCGGUGGAAACUGUCGGGCUAGAGUCCGGAAGAGGCGAGUGGAAUUCCCGGUGUAGCGGUGAAAUGCGCAGAUAUCAGGAGGAACACCGAUGGCGAAGGCAGCUCGCUGGGACGGUACUGACGCUGAGGCGCGAAAGCGUGGGGAGCAAACAGG